RNAcentral lists this long non-coding RNA (1239 nucleotides) under Homo sapiens (human). RNAcentral's name for it is "HSALNT0305924". Lineage: Eukaryota; Metazoa; Chordata; Mammalia; Primates; Hominidae. The record is from RNAcentral.
UUCCUCAAAGAAAAAUGCUUGGGGAACGGGUAAUUGGAAUGAACUACAAGCAUUUUCACUGAGCUCAAAGAAACUGCAAGAAAAAAGAUCUUCGAUCUGCAUCCAAGUAUUUUUUUUGUCUGAAAGAACACUGUGUGAGGAAUUUUGACAUUCUCUGCAUUCUAAUGAAAAUGACUUGGAAAGUAGAGGCUUCUCUAUACAUUUGCCUCAUUGCCGCCACGAUGGGCACCGUUUAUCAGGAAUAAAGAGAGAAGAUCAAGAAAGUAGUUCUUUUCUGGAGAAUUUUGUGCUCUGGCUCUUAAGUACUUUUGCUUUGCCAUGAAUGUGAAUAUUUUAAAGGCCAAAAAAGCCCCCUCCAUUUGAGUUGCAGAUGGCCACAGGAACCCAACAAGAAUGCUAACAACUCAUUUUAAAAAGGGAAAAAGAAAGGAAGUGCCAAGUUCCACACUGCAUAUCCAUACUGAUGUUGAGCCCAUCUUGGCCUAGCUGGUAGAACUGAAAAUUGAGAAUAAUAUUAAGGGGCUGCAAUGAUCCCUAAGGGUAAAAAUAAAUGUGUUUCUGAAAACAACAGCCACAUCCACAAUGAAAUAGACAUGAAACAAGAUAACCCAAGAACACAUUUGUUUUCCUUGUAACAGGGAUGCGUUAAGUUCAUUAUUCAGAGGACUUUGAUUACCCUUUUCAAAGAUUUUUGGGUGACAGUGAUCCAGGAUGAAGGUCCUUUGACUAUACAUUUCAGCGUUCAAUUGAGUGUUGGAAGCAAUCAGAAGACUGGAAGCAAUUUACUAAUAAGAGAACAUGCCCUACAGCUCUGGCCUGUGAAAAGAGUUUCAGAAUCACGAUGUAGCCACAAGUCAAAUUCUAGAAAGAAUUAAUGGCACAUCUCAUAGUUCUUUCAUUUGCUGGCUGAUUCAUUCCAGAGUGGUUUUGAGGACAGAAUGAAGCAAGAUGAAAAACAGCACUUUGAAAAUGGAGUGUGUGGUAUUCAUCUUAGAUACACUUUUAGAGAAGAAGAAAUGUGUCUCAGAAAAAGGACCUCUUCUGACUCAAAUUUAGCUUACAUCCCCUUCUCAACCAUAUCCCAGGUGAUAAAAUAUGACACCCAGGUAAGCAGUGGCCUUGUGGACUCUGAAGAAGUUCUUAACGUGUCCACGGCACAUUCUCAUUUUGUCUGGCUCUAAACUACUGUCUCAAGAAAGCUGCAAAUAUUUGAAAGUAACAAUAAAGUGUUAACAGUAA